RNAcentral lists this ribosomal RNA (218 nucleotides) under uncultured bacterium. RNAcentral describes it as "partial 16S ribosomal RNA". It matches the Rfam family "Bacterial small subunit ribosomal RNA", at positions 18 to 232 of the family's 1533-position model. The record is from RNAcentral.
CCUGGCUCAGAUUGAACGCUGGCGGCAUGCCUAACACAUGCAAGUCGAACGGCAACAGUAUCUAGCUUGCUAGAUAGCUGGCGAGUGGCGAACGGGUGAGUAACGCGUAGGAAUAUACCUUAAAGAGGGGGACAACUUGGGGAAACUCAAGCUAAUACCGCAUAAUUUCGCGAGAAAAAAGCUGGGGACCUUCGGGCCUGGCGCUUUAAGAUUAGCCU